UACGGGACGCAGCGGGAAUUUUGGACAAUGGGGAAACCCUGAUCCAGCCAUCCCGCGUGUGCGAUGAAGGCCUUCCGGGUUGUAAAGCACUUUUGGCAGAAGAAGAAACGGCGCAGUGUACCCGUGCAACUGACAAUUACCUGCAGAAUAAGCACCGGCCUAACGUGCCAGCAGCCGCGGUAAUACGUAGGGUGCAAGCGUUAAUCGGAAUUACUGGGCGUAAAGCGUGCGCAGGCGGUUCGGAAGAAAGAUGUGAAAUCCCAGAGCUUAACUUUGGAACUGCAUUUUUAACUACCGAGCUAGAGUGUGUCAGAGGGAGGUGGAAUUCCGCGUGUAGCAGUGAAAUGCGUAGAUAUGCGGAGGAACACCGAUGGCGAGAGCAGCCUCCUGGGAUAACACUGACGCUCAUGCACGAAAGCGUGGGGAGCAAACAGGAUUAGAUACCCCCGUAGU
Molecule: unclassified non-coding RNA, 453 nt
Filed under: uncultured Bordetella sp.
Lineage: Bacteria; Pseudomonadati; Pseudomonadota; Betaproteobacteria; Burkholderiales; Alcaligenaceae
Description: partial 16S-23S ribosomal RNA intergenic spacer
Rfam family: Bacterial small subunit ribosomal RNA
Source: RNAcentral